Molecule: long non-coding RNA, 323 nt
Filed under: Bos indicus x Bos taurus (hybrid cattle)
Lineage: Eukaryota; Metazoa; Chordata; Mammalia; Artiodactyla; Bovidae
Description: lncRNA (ENSBIXG00005019794.1)
Source: RNAcentral
AUUGGCAGAGCAAGAUUAGGCUGUAAGGCCUAAUGGACAUGGGAAAAGUUAAAAUUGCUCGGAGAAAGGUUUUGGGACACAGAGUGAAGUCUGCUCAGAUCCAUCUGUCUCCUUACUAUUUCAACCAAUAUACUCCCUCCUACAAAAAGUAUGUCUUCAGAAAGUGCACUCAGGUUGGAAAAGUGUGGAAAGAGCAGAUGAACUUACUGUCAGUGGCCAUAUGAUCCCUCACUGUUCAUUGUCUUCAUCACUAAGUAAGACCCACCAGGUAAGGCACUCACUCACACACUUUGGCUUCUCCUGGGCCAAGGUAACAAUAUAGC